AAAAUCCAUCUUUAUUUUUUUUAAAUGAGGAUCAUCAUUUUUUUUUCUAGAGCUACUCUUGUCCUAGCAUACUUAACUCUCUUAAUCUUUUGGGCCUAGCCACCACCCAAAAUGUUUAAACCGAGUUAAGAGUUUAGCCCUAUUAUAUCUUAUAUAUAUGACUAUCUGGAGUCUCAUAAUCUCCCUCCUUAAGCUUCUCGCUAGUCUAAAACGAUCUUAUGGUGAGCUGCGCUCCAUCCACAAUAGUCAACAGCAUGAGAGCCUCGCUCUCCUCGCUGUAUAACCUGGCUCAACCGAGACCAUCUCACACUUUCAAUUAGUAAUUGGCUCUUAUACCAACUGUGGAGUCCCAACUUCCUAGGAGAUCAACUAUCCUAGGAUUACUCCCGUCCUAGCACUCUUAACCUCUUGAGCCUAGCCACCGCCCAAAAUGCUUAAGUCGGAUUAAGAAUUUAGCCCUAUUAUAUCUUAUAUAUAGGACAAUCUGGGGUCUCACACAAAAACUCUGUAUUGCGCUACCUCCGGAGUUGGGAAUUUAUAAUUCUAUAAAAUAGGGGGAAAAACUAGUUGUUUUUCUCAUGGUGUAAAAAAUACUAUAUUUUAUCCAUACAGUAAAAAGAGAGUAAAAAAU
Molecule: long non-coding RNA, 631 nt
Filed under: Ananas comosus (pineapple)
Lineage: Eukaryota; Viridiplantae; Streptophyta; Magnoliopsida; Poales; Bromeliaceae
Description: long non-coding RNA (ACOM_LNC040993)
Source: RNAcentral